CCCUUAGAUGUUCUGGGCCGCACACGCGCUACACUGAAGGAGGCAGCGUGUACUCCUGGAUCGAAAGAUUUGGGUAACCCGCGAAUCUCCUUCGUGCUAGGGAUUGAGGUUUGCAAUUAUCCUUCAUGAACGAGGAAUUCCCAGUAAGUGCAAGUCAUAAGCUUGUGCUGACUACGUCCCUGCCCUUUGUACACACCGCCCGUCGCUACUACCGAUUGAAUGAUUUAGUGAGGACUUCGGACUGGGACCGAUGCGGCUUUCGGGCUGCGUCGGUAUUCUGGAAAGAUGUCCAAACUGUAUCAUUUAGAGGAAGUAAAAGUCGUANCA
This 327-nucleotide ribosomal RNA is filed under the name uncultured eukaryote. RNAcentral's name for it is "partial 18S ribosomal RNA". It matches the Rfam family "Eukaryotic small subunit ribosomal RNA", at positions 1470 to 1796 of the family's 1831-position model. The record is from RNAcentral.